RNAcentral lists this microRNA precursor (95 nucleotides) under Nelumbo nucifera (sacred lotus). Its description in RNAcentral is "mir-166 microRNA precursor family". It matches the Rfam family "mir-166 microRNA precursor family". From Rfam's summary of the family: This family represents the plant microRNA (miRNA) precursor mir-166. Animal miRNAs are transcribed as ~70nt precursors and subsequently processed by the Dicer enzyme to give a ~22nt product. The record is from Rfam by way of RNAcentral. Lineage: Eukaryota; Viridiplantae; Streptophyta; Magnoliopsida; Proteales; Nelumbonaceae.
GUUGAGGGGAAUGUUGUCUGGUUCGAGACCAUUCAUGCAUGCGGAGAAAACAGCAUCAUCUGAAUGAUUUCGGACCAGGCUUCAUUCCCCCCAAC